UUUGGAUGUGUGCUCUGCAGUCCCGGCUGCUUCAGUUUGUUCAGGGGAGCUGCCCUGAUGGAUGACAAUGUAAUGAAGAAAUAUGCUACUAAAGCCACAGAGGCAGCCCAAUAUGUGCAAUAUGAUCAAGGUGAGGACCGCUGGCUGUGUACUUUGCUUCUACAACAAGGCUGGCGAAUAGAGUACACUGCAUCUUCUGAUUCCUACACGAAUGCCCCCCAGGAGUUUAAAGAGUUUUACAACCAAAGGCGGCGCUGGGGACCCUCAUCUUUGGCAAACACUCUUGACCUUCUGAACACAGGAAAAGAAACUUCAAGGAAAAAUUAAUCUAUAUCAAGACUGUAUAUCCUGUAUCAGAUUUUACAAACCGCCUUCUCCAUUCUAGCACCUGCCACAGUUUGUCUCAUGAUAGCAGGAUGCUUCACGUUUAUCUUUGGCUUGAAUGGAAAUAUCUCCCUUUUUCUGGCUGUUCUUCCUCCAGUUUUCUACAUGGUGAUCUGUUUCACAUGUAAAUCUGACAACCAAAUCCUGGUUGCUGGUUUCAUGAAUAUAUUUUAUGCAUUUCUCAUGGCAGCCACCUUCCUCAGCAUUAUAGUUGACAUGGUCAAGCAACAAACAUUCAUCACCCCCAGUGGUCUGUUUUUCAUUUUUUUAGUGGUGCUUUACUUUGUAGCAGCUCUGAUGCACCCCCAGGAAUUCCACCUUGUCCUCUAUGGAUUUAUUUAUAUAAUUUGUGUGCCAAGUGCUUAUCUGCUCUUAAACAUAUACACACUGGUCAACCUGAAUAAUAUUUCCUGGGGAACCCGAGAGACAGCAACCUAUGAGAAGCUGGGAACAAGAAAAGCCAAAAAAAAUGUGAAGUAUGUGAAGAAGUGCAAAUGUCUCUGCUAGAAUUUAGAAUUUCAAGUAAAUGAGGACCAGAAAAUAUCAGCUUCCUCCAACCCAGAAGAAGUAGUGCUUCUGCAUGAUGCUUCUGAAAGCCAAAAUGAAGAAACUGAAAACUUUGAGGCCGGUGCAAUAGAUGACACUGUGGAUGAAAGAUGGAUUCAGCAGCUUCAAGAGAACACAGAUCAUAUUGAACUUGUUGAAGAUAAACUUGAUGAAGAUGAAAUUCCCUUUUGGAAA
Molecule: long non-coding RNA, 1125 nt
Organism: Acipenser ruthenus (sterlet)
Lineage: Eukaryota; Metazoa; Chordata; Actinopteri; Acipenseriformes; Acipenseridae
Exons: 7
Source: RefSeq, a predicted model, not a curated record